AAAUUAGAGAUGAUUAUAAAAUUAAUUCGUUGUUUUGACUUGCUCAAUUUGAGCAUGACAGACCUCUUAUUAUAUUCAUAGAAUCUGAGCUGC
This 93-nucleotide small nucleolar RNA is filed under the name Theobroma cacao (cacao). RNAcentral's name for it is "Small nucleolar RNA snoR8a". It matches the Rfam family "Small nucleolar RNA snoR8a". The record is from Rfam by way of RNAcentral. Lineage: Eukaryota; Viridiplantae; Streptophyta; Magnoliopsida; Malvales; Malvaceae.